This 1388-nucleotide ribosomal RNA is filed under the name Lactobacillus sp. RNAcentral describes it as "bacterial SSU rRNA". It matches the Rfam family "Bacterial small subunit ribosomal RNA", at positions 59 to 1412 of the family's 1533-position model. Lineage: Bacteria; Bacillati; Bacillota; Bacilli; Lactobacillales; Lactobacillaceae. The record is from RNAcentral.
CAGUCGAACGAACUCUGGUAUUGAUUGGUGCUUGCAUCAUGAUUUACAUUUGAGUGAGUGGCGAACUGGUGAGUAACACGAUGGGAAACCUGCCCAGAAGCGGGGGAUAACACCUGGAAACAGAUGCUAAUACCGCAUAACAACUUGGACCGCAUGGUCCGAGCUUGAAAGAUGGCUUCGGCUAUCACUUUUGGAUGGUCCCGCGGCGUAUUAGCUAGAUGGUGGGGUAACGGCUCACCAUGGCAAUGAUACGUAGCCGACCUGAGAGGGUAAUCGGCCACAUUGGGACUGAGACACGGCCCAAACUCCUACGGGAGGCAGCAGUAGGGAAUCUUCCACAAUGGACGAAAGUCUGAUGGAGCAACGCCGCGUGAGUGAAGAAGGGUUUCGGCUCGUAAAACUCUGUUGUUAAAGAAGAACAUAUCUGAGAGUAACUGUUCAGGUAUUGACGGUAUUUAACCAGAAAGCCACGGCUAACUACGUGCCAGCAGCCGCGGUAAUACGUAGGUGGCAAGCGUUGUCCGGAUUUAUUGGGCGUAAAGCGAGCGCAGGCGGUUUUUUAAGUCUGAUGUGAAAGCCUUCGGCUCAACCGAAGAAGUGCAUCGGAAACUGGGAAACUUGAGUGCAGAAGAGGACAGUGGAACUCCAUGUGUAGCGGUGAAAUGCGUAGAUAUAUGGAAGAACACCAGUGGCGAAGGCGGCUGUCUGGUCUGUAACUGACGCUGAGGCUCGAAAGUAUGGGUAGCAAACAGGAUUAGAUACCCUGGUAGUCCAUACCGUAAACGAUGAAUGCUAAGUGUUGGAGGGUUUCCGCCCUUCAGUGCUGCAGCUAACGCAUUAAGCAUUCCGCCUGGGGAGUACGGCCGCAAGGCUGAAACUCAAAGGAAUUGACGGGGGCCCGCACAAGCGGUGGAGCAUGUGGUUUAAUUCGAAGCUACGCGAAGAACCUUACCAGGUCUUGACAUACUAUGCAAAUCUAAGAGAUUAGACGUUCCCUUCGGGGACAUGGAUACAGGUGGUGCAUGGUUGUCGUCAGCUCGUGUCGUGAGAUGUUGGGUUAAGUCCCGCAACGAGCGCAACCCUUAUUAUCAGUUGCCAGCAUUAAGUUGGGCACUCUGGUGAGACUGCCGGUGACAAACCGGAGGAAGGUGGGGAUGACGUCAAAUCAUCAUGCCCCUUAUGACCUGGGCUACACACGUGCUACAAUGGAUGGUACAACGAGUUGCGAACUCGCGAGAGUAAGCUAAUCUCUUAAAGCCAUUCUCAGUUCGGAUUGUAGGCUGCAACUCGCCUACAUGAAGUCGGAAUCGCUAGUAAUCGCGGAUCAGCAUGCCGCGGUGAAUACGUUCCCGGGCCUUGUACACACCGCCCGUCACACCAUGAGAGUU